Molecule: ribosomal RNA, 253 nt
Filed under: uncultured bacterium
Lineage: Bacteria
Description: partial 16S ribosomal RNA
Rfam family: Bacterial small subunit ribosomal RNA
Source: RNAcentral
UACGUAGGGUGCAGGCGUUAAUCGGAAUUACUGGGCGUAAAGCGUGCACAGGCGGCUCCUUAAGUCAGAUGUGAAAGCCCCGGGCUUAACCCGGGAACUGCGUUUGAAACUGGGGAGCUAGAGUGUGGAAGAGGGGGGUGGAAUUCCAGGUGUAGCAGUGAAAUGCGUAGAGAUCUGGAGGAACACCGAUGGCGAAGGCAGCCCCCUGGGCUAACACUGACGCUCAUGCACGAAAGCGUGGGGAGCAAACAGG